CGACGUCUUCCUUUUUUUGUUUUUUUUUUCCUAUCUCUCUCAUCGAGAAGAUGAAAAUACGAACGGCAAUCUAGAGAAGACUAUCAGCCUCUGCCGCAGUCGACGGCGUCGCAGCUACCGCGCUCCACUCAAUUUUCUACCCCGUCCAUCUAAGCCGAAAAAUCCAGUCGUCGCGCCGACGAGAUCCGAGUGGUGGCAGUGAGCAAGACGAAUCUGGCCGUUGUCCUCUAUCAAGUAUAUGACGCCGACCACCGCUGGUUCGGCGAGAACUACGUCCAUGGAAUCGUCG
RNAcentral lists this long non-coding RNA (289 nucleotides) under Rosa chinensis. RNAcentral's name for it is "sRNA RchiOBHm_Chr5g0060971". The record is from RNAcentral. Lineage: Eukaryota; Viridiplantae; Streptophyta; Magnoliopsida; Rosales; Rosaceae.